GUUGGGAAAUGAUGUGAAGUUACCCAAGAUAUCAAAGGCACUAGCUAUGCUGAAUGUCUUUGUUUUGCACGUCAGUCUGAUCCCAUA
Molecule: small nucleolar RNA, 87 nt
Filed under: Jatropha curcas
Lineage: Eukaryota; Viridiplantae; Streptophyta; Magnoliopsida; Malpighiales; Euphorbiaceae
Description: Small nucleolar RNA Z122
Rfam family: Small nucleolar RNA Z122
About the family: Z122 is a member of the C/D class of snoRNA which contain the C (UGAUGA) and D (CUGA) box motifs.
Source: Rfam by way of RNAcentral